Molecule: long non-coding RNA, 1716 nt
Filed under: Triticum aestivum (bread wheat)
Lineage: Eukaryota; Viridiplantae; Streptophyta; Magnoliopsida; Poales; Poaceae
Description: long non-coding RNA (TAES_LNC025183)
Source: RNAcentral
UUGAUUCAAACCCGAGUUCAGAAAUUACUUUGAGUCUAACCGGGUCAAUUUUUUUUUACUUCCUUUUCUUUUCCGAAUAAAAAAUAGCUUCUGUGUGCAUGAAUAGCUACCACAAAUAUAAAGGGACUAGUUUGGUUGUCAUAUAGGUUGUUCUCGCCUAGUUGCAUAUCUAGAGAACUUAUUUAUCCGCACCCUCCGGCCGUUGCUCGUCCUCCAUGGACCCGUGAGCGGUGAACUCGAGCUGCCGCUGCUCGUUCAUCUCGUCCCUGGGGCCAAAAGGUAAAUGAUCCCAUUCAUUAAAUUUCAGAUGACCAACGUUGCAGCUUAACAACAACAGUCAAAAUCUAAAUUAACUGAAGCAUUUAGUUCAUAAAAUCCAAGAUUUAAAAAAUGCAUCUAAGCUACACCAAUAUGAGGCGCUCUAUAACGUACAAAGAAUGGCAAGAGAUAUAUCCAGAAAUAAAAUAAGAAUAACAAAUUUCCUCACGGAUACAAUGGCCUUAUAAACCUGAACAGUAUGCCACUGUGAAACCAUUCUCAUUGCAAAACUGCCAAAAACUAAUAAGAAAACCCAACAUUCUUUUUAAAGGGACCUGCUUAUCCACUAACUAUAUGACUUGCAAUCAUGAGUGAAAUACUCCUCAUGAAUAAAGCUCAAUCAAGUUCGUAGCUCACUGUGCCUCGUGCGAUGAUACCAUUCACCAAGUUCCAAAGCACAAAAGUUGCCAAAGUAACACAAACAUCAAGCUUCAUACAAAAAUUCCGAGACAUGUGGAAUAUCAGUGUGGAUAUGGUGAAACACGUAACUAACUGACUGAAAGAAAGAUCUAUGCCAUCGUUGUAUGAACCUCUAGAACAUUCAAUUUUACCACAGUACAAAAUAAAAACUCAGCAAGAAAGCAUGAUUUCAGUACAAAAAUAAAAAGUGAUAGUAUCUCGAUGCAAGUUCUGGCAGAAACUUGGUCCAACCUUGUGCGAACACAUCAGCAGUGCAAUCAACUAAAUUCAUGAAUCGGCAAUGUCCUGCAGAACUGCGCUAGCAACUAGUCUACUUAUUGCUUGGGUGAUGUAUAUGGCUUAUGAUGGAUGGCAUGGAAAGGAAACAGAAAAAAAAACUGACCAGCUGAAUGCAUAAAUAAGAGAUCGGAAAACUGCAGCUGUGCCACCUAGUUGUGGCACCACAUCAAAUUCGUCAAAUAAGCAACAUCUGCAAAUUUUUAGACAGGAAAUCAAGAUUAGAACGGAUAAAAUAAAUUUGUAUGAUCAGAACUAAAACUCACAGAAUAUAAAUGUGUUAAAAUGAAUGCAAAAGCUGAAGCACCUGAGCAUAUAUGAGUUCUAGUUGACUCCUGAAUCUUCACUGCCACCGCGUCCCACAUCAAGACUGACCUUGUGGUAACUUCACAAGCCAUCUUGGUAUCAACUACUAGAUAUAAAAUUUUGCGAGCCCUCAGAAGCUUACAACCAUAGUAAAAAAUUACGUCUCUGAAAUAAAUAAACUAGAAACGAACCUGAACAAAGUGUUUUGAUCACAGGUAAUUAGGCUCCCUUGAGCCGGAAUGCAGGGUGAAACCAAUAGUCCUUAAAGCUGUGCUGAUGCAGUGAUGCUAAAAUUGCAGAAAAUAAAGUGGUCAGAAUCAGAAUCGCAAAUAAAUAUGACCAAGCAUAUCAAAUUCUUUACCUCGGUAACCAAGCAUCUAUGCAAGUCCUGGAUUG